GACGAACGCUGGCGGCGUGCUUAACACAUGCAAGUCGAACGGAAAGGCCCCUUUGGGGUUCCUCGAGUGGCGAACGGGUGAGUAACACGUGAGUAACCUGCCCUUGACUUCGGGAGAACUUCAGGAAACUGGGGCUAAUACCGGAUAGGAAUCCUUGCUGCAUGGUGGGGGUUGGAAAGCUUCGGCGGUUUUGGAUGGACUCGCGGCUUAUCAGCUUGUUGGUGGGGUAGUGGCUUACCAAGGCUUUGACGGGUAGCCGGCCUGAGAGGGCGACCGGCCACAUUGGGACUGAGAUACGGCCCAGACUCCGACGGGAGGCAGAAGUGGGGAAUAUUGCACAAUGGGCGGAAGCCUGAUGCAGCAACGCCGCGUGCGGGAGGACGGCCUUCGGGUUGUAAACCGCUUUCAGCAGGGGCGAAGCUUGUGGUGACGGUACCUGCAGAAGAAGCACCGGCUAACUACGUG
This 465-nucleotide ribosomal RNA is filed under the name uncultured bacterium. Its description in RNAcentral is "partial 16S ribosomal RNA". It matches the Rfam family "Bacterial small subunit ribosomal RNA", at positions 28 to 507 of the family's 1533-position model. The record is from RNAcentral.